Molecule: ribosomal RNA, 255 nt
Filed under: uncultured bacterium
Lineage: Bacteria
Description: partial 16S ribosomal RNA
Rfam family: Bacterial small subunit ribosomal RNA
Source: RNAcentral
UACGUAGAGAGCAAGCGUUGUCCGGAAUCAUUGGGCGUAAAGGGUACGCAGGCGGUCUAUUAAGUCAGAGGUGAAAUCCAACAGCUCAACUGUUGAACUGCCUUUUGAUACUGGUAGACUUGAGGAUAAGAGAAGAAAACGGAAUUCCUAGUGUAGCGGUGGAAUGCGUAGAUAUUAGGAAGAAUACCGAUGGCGAAAGCAGUUUUCUAACUUAUUCCUGACGCUCAGGUACGAAAGCUAGGGUAGCAAACGGGG